CAACCCUCAAGCACUGCUUGGUGUUGGGCUCUGCCGGUGACGGCAGGCCCUAAAAUCAGUGGCGGCGCCGCUGGGCCCUGAACGUAGUAAUUUUCUCGUUACAGGUCUCUGCGUGCUCCCGCCAGUAACCCUUACUAAA
This 139-nucleotide unclassified non-coding RNA is filed under the name uncultured Ascomycota. Its description in RNAcentral is "sequence contains ITS2". Lineage: Eukaryota; Fungi; Ascomycota. The record is from RNAcentral.